CUCCUAAAAAGGUUGUACUUUUGACUUGUUUGAUAUCGUCGUUAUUGAUGAACAACUUUAGUACGUGUUUCUUUUUCUUUUUUGAGGAUCGAAAUAAAAUAAAUUUGGUUUUUGAUGUGUUGAUAGAUAGUUUGUUUGUGUUUAGCCAUUCGGCUAUUUUGUCCACUUCUGUCUGAAGAGUUUCAUUUAGUGUUUUGAGGCAUGAGUGACUGUAAAAUAUAUUUGUAUCAUCAGCAAACAAUAGCAUUGAUGCUACAUCACUACAGUUUUGAAUAUCGUUUAUAUAGAGGAUAAAAAGUGGCGGACCCAAUAUUGAACCUUGCGGGACCCCAGUUUGUACUAUCAUUUCGCUUGACAUUAUUUGUUUAUAUUUUACAAUUUGUUUCCUCUUAAUUUGUAUAAUAAUUUUCAAACCAAAGUCUUGCUAUGCCACGAAUUCCGUAAUAUUCUAAUUUACUGAUCAGAAUCUUGUGAUCAAC
This is a non-coding RNA of Paramuricea clavata, 479 nucleotides long. The record is from the annotation of a GenBank genome assembly. Lineage: Eukaryota; Metazoa; Cnidaria; Anthozoa; Malacalcyonacea; Plexauridae.